AAAUGACAUCUAGGUCUCAUGGUAAACUCAUAUCAAUGGCAUAAUCAACUAGCGAGCAAUAAUAAUAAGUUUCAAACGUUAACACUUCAAUCAAGACAAUCAUGAAGCAGUACGAACAGAUGGUAUCUCGCUAGCUCUUUCUGAGACCGCAAAACAUAAAUACAGAGCACCUUCAAAGACCAAGGGCUGACUAAACAUUGUAAU
This 204-nucleotide long non-coding RNA is filed under the name Hordeum vulgare. RNAcentral describes it as "long non-coding RNA (HVUL_LNC010522)". Lineage: Eukaryota; Viridiplantae; Streptophyta; Magnoliopsida; Poales; Poaceae. The record is from RNAcentral.